GUGGGGAAUAUUGGACAAUGGGCGAAAGCCUGAUCCAGCCAUGCCGCGUGUGUGAAGAAGGUCUUCGGAUUGUAAAGCACUUUAAGUUGGGAGGAAGGGCAGUAAGUUAUUACCUUGCUGUUUUGACGUUACCGACAGAAUAAGCACCGGCUAACUUCGUGCCAGCAGCCGCGGUAAUACGAAGGGUGCAAGCGUUAAUCGGAAUUACUGGGCGUAAAGCGCGCGUAGGUGGUUUUGUAAGUUGGAGGUGAAAUCCCCGGGCUCAACCUGGGAACUGCCUCCAAAACUGCAUGACUAGAGUACGGUAGAGGGUAGUGGAAUUUCCUGUGUAGCGGUGAAAUGCGUAGAUAUAGGAAGGAACACCAGUGGCGAAGGCGACUACCUGGACUGAUACUGACACUGAGGUGCGAAAGCGUGGGGAGCAAACAGGAUUAGAAACCCUUGUAGUCC
This 450-nucleotide ribosomal RNA is filed under the name uncultured bacterium. Its description in RNAcentral is "partial 16S ribosomal RNA". It matches the Rfam family "Bacterial small subunit ribosomal RNA", at positions 354 to 796 of the family's 1533-position model. The record is from RNAcentral.